This 218-nucleotide unclassified non-coding RNA is filed under the name Hevea brasiliensis (rubber tree). Lineage: Eukaryota; Viridiplantae; Streptophyta; Magnoliopsida; Malpighiales; Euphorbiaceae. The record is from RNAcentral.
UAAUGAUAUAGAAUUUUUGAACGUAGACGACGACGAUGAAGAAGAUGAGGACAACAUGCAAUUUGCAGCAGAUCCUAGCUUUCUUGAAAACAGUGGAUGGUCUUCCCGGACCAGGGCUGUUGCCAGAUAUCUUCAAAAUCUCUUUGAUAGGGACUCGGUACACGGGAGAAAGGUCCUUCACAUGGAUAACUUACUCGUUAACAAAACUCGGAAGGAAG